AGCCAGCUAACACCAAAUCUCAAAACCCCACUUCAUGGACCUGCUUAAUUACAGUACGCUGCUUCUUCAUUCAUUCACUCGAUUCAGAAUAUAACAAUCAUGUCUCUUACAACUUUGUUGUUUAGUUCAGUGGUGAGGCUUGUGACGUCUUUAGUUGUUGAGCCAGCCACUUCAGUCUCAACCGUGCUAUACUAUAGUGGUCUUUUGCCUCACAAUAUGAUUUUGCUCAGAAUGGUUCGGCCACAGUUGCUUGAUCAAGAAAACUACCUCUUCCAUCUUCUCAUUACCUUUAUGAGUUGUUGUUGGUGAACACGAUAUAUGUAUAUGGGGCAAUUUUUUCAUAGUUUUCGAUCUCCAUUUUUUGUGGGUUACGAAGAGAGAGUGUUGUUUUGGGAAGGAAAAGUGUCGUAGAGAGAAAUGAACUAUGAAAAUGACUUUUGAUGUUUUGCAAUAUUCUACAAUUCAAGCACACUUAAUUGUAGAAUUCUUAUAAGAUAAGUUAUCGAAAAAUA
Long non-coding RNA from Cajanus cajan (pigeon pea), 512 nucleotides. RefSeq lists it as uncharacterized. The record is from RefSeq and is a predicted model, not a curated record. Lineage: Eukaryota; Viridiplantae; Streptophyta; Magnoliopsida; Fabales; Fabaceae.